GUUCGGAAUUACUGGGCGUAAAGGGCUCGUAGGUCGCCAACUAAGUCAGACGUGAAAUCCCUCAGCUUAACUGGGGAACUGCGUCUGAUACUGGAUGGCUUGAGUUUGGGAGAGGGAUGCGGAAUUCCAGGUGUAGCGGUGAAAUGCGUAGAUAUCUGGAGGAACACCGGUGGCGAAGGCGGCAUCCUGGACCAACACUGACACUGAGGAGCGAAAGCCAGGGGAGCAAACGGG
This 234-nucleotide ribosomal RNA is filed under the name uncultured bacterium. RNAcentral describes it as "partial 16S ribosomal RNA". It matches the Rfam family "Bacterial small subunit ribosomal RNA", at positions 543 to 776 of the family's 1533-position model. The record is from RNAcentral.